CCUCCAGGACAGCCACAAGGACCACAGCCACAGGGAGGCCACCACCACCACCAUGGUCCACCACCUCCUCCAGGACAGCCACAAGGACCACCCCCACAACAGGGGCAGCCUCCCCAGUAAUCUAGGAUUCAAUGACAGGAAGUGAAUAAGAAGAUAACAGUGUUUCAAAUGCCAUGAAAUAUAAUGUGGUCAUGCUCUAGCUUCAAUAUACCAAUAAAAUAAUCAGCUUGCAAUUUC
This is a long non-coding RNA of Sapajus apella (tufted capuchin), 237 nucleotides long. RefSeq lists it as uncharacterized. The record is from RefSeq and is a predicted model, not a curated record. The transcript has 2 exons. NCBI's taxonomy places the organism in Eukaryota, Metazoa, Chordata, Mammalia, Primates, Cebidae.